GGUUAAGCGACUAAGCGUACACGGUGGAUGCCCUGGCAGUCAGAGGCGAUGAAGGACGUGCUAAUCUGCGAUAAGCGUCGGUAAGGUGAUAUGAACCGUUAUAACCGGCGAUUUCCGAAUGGGGAAACCCAGUGUGAUUCGUCACACUAUCAUUAACUGAAUCCAUAGGUUAAUGAGGCGAACCGGGGGAACUGAAACAUCUAAGUACCCCGAGGAAAAGAAAUCAACCGAGAUUCCUCCAGUAGCGGCGAGCGAACGGGGAGCAGCCCAGAGCCUGAAUCAGUGUGUGUGUUAGUGGAAGCGUCUGGAAAGGCGUGCGAUACAGGGUGACAGCCCCGUACACAAAAAUGCACAUACUGUGAGCUCGAUGAGUAGGGCGGGACACGUGGUAUCCUGUCUGAAUAUGGGGGGACCAUCCUCCAAGGCUAAAUACUCCUGACUGACCGAUAGUGAACCAGUACCGUGAGGGAAAGGCGAAAAGAACCCCGGCGAGGGGAGUGAAAAAGAACCUGAAACCGUGUACGUACAAGCAGUGGGAGCACGCUUAGGCGUGUGACUGCGUACCUUUUGUAUAAUGGGUCAGCGACUUAUAUUCUGUAGCAAGGUUAACCGAAUAGGGGAGCCGAAGGGAAACCGAGUCUUAACUGGGCGUUAAGUUGCAGGGUAUAGACCCGAAACCCGGUGAUCUAGCCAUGGGCAGGUUGAAGGUUGGGUAACACUAACUGGAGGACCGAACCGACUAAUGUUGAAAAAUUAGCGGAUGACUUGUGGCUGGGGGUGAAAGGCCAAUCAAACCGGGAGAUAGCUGGUUCUCCCCGAAAGCUAUUUAGGUAGCGCCUCGUGAAUUCAUCUCCGGGGGUAGAGCACUGUUUCGGCAAGGGGGUCAUCCCGACUUACCAACCCGAUGCAAACUGCGAAUACCGGAGAAUGUUAUCACGGGAGACACACGGCGGGUGCUAACGUCCGUCGUGAAGAGGGAAACAACCCAGACCGCCAGCUAAGGUCCCAAAGUCAUGGUUAAGUGGGAAACGAUGUGGGAAGGCCCAGACAGCCAGGAUGUUGGCUUAGAAGCAGCCAUCAUUUAAAGAAAGCGUAAUAGCUCACUGGUCGAGUCGGCCUGCGCGGAAGAUGUAACGGGGCUAAACCAUGCACCGAAGCUGCGGCAGCGACGCUUAUGCGUUGUUGGGUAGGGGAGCGUUCUGUAAGCCUGUGAAGGUGUGCUGUGAGGUAUGCUGGAGGUAUCAGAAGUGCGAAUGCUGACAUAAGUAACGAUAAAGCGGGUGAAAAGCCCGCUCGCCGGAAGACCAAGGGUUCCUGUCCAACGUUAAUCGGGGCAGGGUGAGUCGACCCCUAAGGCGAGGCCGAAAGGCGUAGUCGAUGGGAAACAGGUUAAUAUUCCUGUACUUGGUGUUACUGCGAAGGGGGGACGGAGAAGGCUAUGUUGGCCGGGCGACGGUUGUCCCGGUUUAAGCGUGUAGGCUGGUUUUCCAGGCAAAUCCGGAAAAUCAAGGCCGAGGCGUGAUGACGAGGCACUACGGUGCUGAAGCAACAAAUGCCCUGCUUCCAGGAAAAGCCUCUAAGCAUCAGGUAACAUCAAAUCGUACCCCAAACCGACACAGGUGGUCAGGUAGAGAAUACCAAGGCGCUUGAGAGAACUCGGGUGAAGGAACUAGGCAAAAUGGUGCCGUAACUUCGGGAGAAGGCACGCUGAUACGUAGGUGAAGCGACUUGCUCGUGGAGCUGAAAUCAGUCGAAGAUACCAGCUGGCUGCAACUGUUUAUUAAAAACACAGCACUGUGCAAACACGAAAGUGGACGUAUACGGUGUGACGCCUGCCCGGUGCCGGAAGGUUAAUUGAUGGGGUUAGCGCAAGCGAAGCUCUUGAUCGAAGCCCCGGUAAACGGCGGCCGUAACUAUAACGGUCCUAAGGUAGCGAAAUUCCUUGUCGGGUAAGUUCCGACCUGCACGAAUGGCGUAAUGAUGGCCAGGCUGUCUCCACCCGAGACUCAGUGAAAUUGAACUCGCUGUGAAGAUGCAGUGUACCCGCGGCAAGACGGAAAGACCCCGUGAACCUUUACUAUAGCUUGACACUGAACAUUGAGCCUUGAUGUGUAGGAUAGGUGGGAGGCUUUGAAGUGUGGACGCCAGUCUGCAUGGAGCCGACCUUGAAAUACCACCCUUUAAUGUUUGAUGUUCUAACGUGGACCCGUGAUCCGGGUUGCGGACAGUGUCUGGUGGGUAGUUUGACUGGGGCGGUCUCCUCCUAAAGAGUAACGGAGGAGCACGAAGGUUGGCUAAUCCUGGUCGGACAUCAGGAGGUUAGUGCAAUGGCAUAAGCCAGCUUGACUGCGAGCGUGACGGCGCGAGCAGGUGCGAAAGCAGGUCAUAGUGAUCCGGUGGUUCUGAAUGGAAGGGCCAUCGCUCAACGGAUAAAAGGUACUCCGGGGAUAACAGGCUGAUACCGCCCAAGAGUUCAUAUCGACGGCGGUGUUUGGCACCUCGAUGUCGGCUCAUCACAUCCUGGGGCUGAAGUAGGUCCCAAGGGUAUGGCUGUUCGCCAUUUAAAGUGGUACGCGAGCUGGGUUUAGAACGUCGUGAGACAGUUCGGUCCCUAUCUGCCGUGGGCGCUGGAGAACUGAGGGGGGCUGCUCCUAGUACGAGAGGACCGGAGUGGACGCAUCACUGGUGUUCGGGUUGUCAUGCCAAUGGCACUGCCCGGUAGCUAAAUGCGGAAGAGAUAAGUGCUGAAAGCAUCUAAGCACGAAACUUGCCCCGAGAUGAGUUCUCCCUGACCCUUUAAGGGUCCUGAAGGAACGUUGAAGACGACGACGUUGAUAGGCCGGGUGUGUAAGCGCAGCGAUGCGUUGAGCUAACCGGUACUAAUGAACCGUGAGGCUUAACCUU
This 2904-nucleotide ribosomal RNA is filed under the name Shigella flexneri. RNAcentral's name for it is "23S ribosomal RNA". It matches the Rfam family "Bacterial large subunit ribosomal RNA". The record is from RNAcentral. Lineage: Bacteria; Pseudomonadati; Pseudomonadota; Gammaproteobacteria; Enterobacterales; Enterobacteriaceae. RNAcentral also lists the same sequence under 1 other name.